Molecule: long non-coding RNA, 1088 nt
Filed under: Prunus persica (peach)
Lineage: Eukaryota; Viridiplantae; Streptophyta; Magnoliopsida; Rosales; Rosaceae
Description: long non-coding RNA (PPER_LNC008764)
Source: RNAcentral
GAGGAGUCAUUUGGGGGGUUUUGAGUGAAAUACUAUCUCUAGAACUAUACAAUACACCAACCACCCGAUUUAUGAACGAACUUCGUACGAACCUGAAUUGUCCGAUUUGAAGGACCAAUCGGUAUCGGAUUGAGUCCAAAACUUGGGCAACAUCAUAAUAUUGGGGGAGGAGUCAUUUGGUGGGUUUUGAGUGAAAUCCAAUCUCCAGAACUAUACAAUACACCAACCACCGCAUUUCAGAACGAACUUCGUACGAACCUGAAUUGUCCGAUUUCAAGGACUAAUCGAUAUCGGAUUGAGUCCAAAACUUGGGGAACAUCAUCAUAUUGUGGGAGGAGUCAUUUGGUGGGUUUUGAGUGAAAUCCAAUCCCUAGAACUAUACAAUACACCAACCACCCCAUGUAUGAACGAACUUCGUAUGAACCUGCAUUGUCCGAUUUGAAGGACCAAUCGGUAUCGGAUUGACUCCAAAACUUGGGGAACAUCAUAAUAUGUGGAGGAGUCAUUUGGAUGGGUUUUGAGUGAAAUUCCAAUCUCUAGAACUAUACAAUACCCCACCACCCCAUUUCAUACGACUUCGUACGACACAGAAUUGUCCGAUUUCAAGGACCAAUCGAUAUCGGAUUGAGUCCAAACUUGGGGAACAUCAUAAUAUUGUGGGAGGAGUCAUUUGGUGGGUUUUGGGUGAAAUCCAAUCUCUAGACAUAUACAAUACACCAACCAUCCCAUUUCAAAACGAACUUCGUACGAACCUGAAUUGUCCGAUUUCAAGCCCCAAUCAAUAUCGGAUUGAGUCCAAAACUUGGGAACAUCAUAAUAUUGUGGGAGGAGUCAUUUGGUGGGUUUUGAGUGAAAUCUAAUCUCUAGAACUAUACAAUACACCAACCACCCCAUUUCAAAACGAACUUCGUACAAACCUGAUUGGCCGAUUUCAAGGACUAAUCGAUAUCGGAUUGAGUCCAAUACUUGGGGAACGUCAUAAUAUUGUGGGAGGAUUCAUUUGGUGGGUUUUGAGUGAAAUCCAAUCUCUAGAACUAUACAAUACACCAACCACCCCAUUUCGGAAUGAACUUCAAACGAACCUGAAU